This 493-nucleotide ribosomal RNA is filed under the name uncultured bacterium. RNAcentral describes it as "partial 16S ribosomal RNA". It matches the Rfam family "Bacterial small subunit ribosomal RNA", at positions 30 to 523 of the family's 1533-position model. The record is from RNAcentral.
AUUGAACGCUGGCGGCAUGCCUUACACAUGCAAGUCGAACGGUAACAGGUUAAGCUGACGAGUGGCGAACGGGUGAGUAAUAUAUCGGAACGUGCCCAGUCGUGGGGGAUAACGUAGCGAAAGCUACGCUAAUACCGCAUACGAUCUACGGAUGACAGCGGGGGAUCGCAAGACCGCGCGCGAUUGGAGCGGCCGAUAUCAGAUUAGGAUGUUGGUGAGGUAAAAGCUCACCAAGCCUGCUAUCUGUAGCUGGUCUGAGAGGACAACCAGCCGCACUGGGACUGGGACUCGGUCCAGACUCCUACGGGAGGCAGCAGUGGGGAAUUUUGGACAAUGGACGGAAGUCUGAUCCGUCAAUGCCGCGGGGAGGACGAAGGCCUUCGGGUUGUAAACUGCUUUUGUACGGAACGAAACGGUGAGCUCUAAUACAGUUUGCUAAUGACGGUACCGUAAGAAUAAGCACCGGCUAACUACGUGCCAGCAGCCGCCGCCG